Molecule: ribosomal RNA, 1383 nt
Filed under: uncultured marine bacterium
Lineage: Bacteria
Description: bacterial SSU rRNA
Rfam family: Bacterial small subunit ribosomal RNA
Source: RNAcentral
AGAGUUUGAUCCUGGCUCAGGACGAACGCUGGUGGCGGGCCUAACACAUGCAAGUCGAACGAGGCUUUCCGGUGCUUGCACUGGAAAAUCGAGUGGCGAACGGGUGAGUAAUACAUGAGAAACCUGCCUUGGAGACGGGGACAACCUCGGGAAACUGAGGCUAAUACCCGAUAUCCCUGCCGAGUCGCAUGACUUGGCAAGAAAAUACUCAGGUGCUCCAAGAGGGUCUCAUGCCCUAUCAGCUUGUUGGUGAGGUAAAAGCUCACCAAGGCUUAGACGGGUAGCUGGUCUGAGAGGACGAUCGGCCACACUGGGACUGAGACACGGCCCAGACUCCUACGGGAGGCAGCAGUGGGGAAUCUUGCGCAAUGGGCGAAAGCCUGACGCAGCCACGCCACGUGUGGGACGACGGCCCUCGGGUUGUAAACCACUUUCAGCAGGGACGAAAAUGACGGUACCUGCAGAAGAAGCCCCGGCCAACUACGUGCCAGCAGCCGCGGUAACACGUAGGGGGCGAGCGUUGUCCGGAAUUACUGGGCGUAAAGGGCUCGUAGGCGGUUUGGUAAGUCAGAUGUGAAAACUCCAGGCUCAACUUGGAGACGCCAUCUGAUACUGCCAUGACUAGAGUUUGGUAGAGGAGUGCAGAAUUCCCGGUGUAGCGGUGAAAUGCGCAGAUAUCGGGAGGAAUACCAGUCAGCGAAAGGCGGCACUCUGGGCCACAACUGACGCUGAGGAGCGAAAGCGUGGGGAGCGAACAGGAUUAGAUACCCUGGUAGUCUUAGCCGUAAACGAUGGGUACUAGGUGUUGGGGGACAUUGACCCCCUCAGUGCCGUAGCUAACGCAUUAAGUACCCCGCCUGGGGAGUACGGCCGCAAGGCUGAAACUCAAAGGAAUUGACGGGGACCCGCACAAGCAGUGGAGCAUGUUGCUUAAUUCGAUGCAACGCGAAGAACCUUACCAGGGCUUGACAUCCACGGAACUUUCCAGAGAUGGAUUGGUGCCUUCGGGAACCGUGUGACAGGUGCUGCAUGGCUGUCGUCAGCUCGUGUCGUGAGAUGUUGGGUUAAGUCCCGUAACGAGCGCAACCCUUAUCCUUAUUUGCCAGCGGGUCAUGCCGGGAACUCUAAGGAGACUGCCGGUGACAAACCGGAGGAAGGCGGGGACGAGGUCAAGUCAUCAUGGCCCUUAUCGUGGUGGGCUACAAACGUGCUACAAUGGGCGAUACAAAGGGCUGCAAUCCCGCGAGGGGGAGCGAAUCCCAAAAAAACGCUCGUAGUCCGGAUAGGAGUCUGCAACUCGACUCCUUGAAGUCGGAAUCGCUAGUAAUCGCGAAUCAGAAUGUCGCGGUGAAUACGUUCCCGGGCCUUGUACACACCGCCCGU